RNAcentral lists this ribosomal RNA (323 nucleotides) under uncultured cyanobacterium. RNAcentral's name for it is "bacterial SSU rRNA". It matches the Rfam family "Bacterial small subunit ribosomal RNA", at positions 28 to 351 of the family's 1533-position model. The record is from RNAcentral. Lineage: Bacteria; Bacillati; Cyanobacteriota.
GACGAACGCUGGCGGUAUGUUUAACACAUGCAAGUCGUACGAGAUUAAUUUUUGGACUCUCGGGUCCAAGUUUUAAUUCUAGUGGCGGACGGGUGCGUAACGCGUAAGAACUUACCUUUUGGUGUGGGAUAACAGCGGGAAACUGCUGCUAAUACCGCAUAGUGCUGAGAAGCUAAAAGUGAAAACUGCCAAGAGAGAGGCUUGCGUCUGAUUAGCUAGUUGGUGGAGGUAAAUGCUCCCCAAGGCGACGAUCAGUAGCUGGUCUGAGAGGAUGAUCAGCCACACUGGGACUGAGACACGGCCCAGACUCCUACGGGAGCCAG